Molecule: ribosomal RNA, 301 nt
Filed under: uncultured bacterium
Lineage: Bacteria
Description: partial 16S ribosomal RNA
Rfam family: Bacterial small subunit ribosomal RNA
Source: RNAcentral
CAGUAGCCGCGGUAAUACGAGGGAUCCUAGCGUUGUUCGGAAUCAUUGGGCGUAAAGGGUGUGUAGGCGGCCUUGUAAGUCAGUUGUGAAAGCCCCGGGCUCAACCCGGGAAGUGCUUCUGAUACUGCUUGGCUUGAGUAUUGGAUAGGUGAGUGGAAUUCCAGGUGUAGUGGUGAAAUACGUAGAUAUCUGGAGGAACACCGGCGGCGAAGGCGGCUCACUGGCCAUAUACUGACGCUGAAACACGAAAGCGUGGGUAGCAAACAGGAUUAGAUACCCGAGUAGUCCCUGUCUCUUAUAC